This is a long non-coding RNA of Meriones unguiculatus (Mongolian gerbil), 2109 nucleotides long. RefSeq lists it as uncharacterized. NCBI's taxonomy places the organism in Eukaryota, Metazoa, Chordata, Mammalia, Rodentia, Muridae. The transcript is spliced from 3 exons. The record is from RefSeq and is a predicted model, not a curated record.
CAUCCAUGGGUGAACUCUGAGGAAAGGAGAUAUAUAGAAGCCCACAGACAGUGAGACAUUGCUUUCUUGGAUCAACAUUGCUGUGCUGAUAUUUGUGCUUCAACACUUGACUUCGCAGAGAGAAAUGUUCCAGAAAAUUUCUUGGGACAAUCCAGCUGAGUCUUGUGGCUUUCACUGAUUUGUCCCAAUCUUCUGAAUCGUGCUGCUUUGUGUUGCUGUUUGGUGUUGGACUUUGGACUGGACUGCUGGUAUCUGGACAACGAAGAGUGGACUUAUCCCAAGGAACUACUUCUAAAAAGCUUGUCCUCUCCUCCACCCUAGUCAGCUUGCAGCUUGAAGACAACAUGAAAGGCAGUUGAUCAUUCACACUUCCUCCCACCUCCCCAUCUCUGUCUUCAGAAAGGCUCAAGUGAGGACUCACCUCUGUUACAAAGUGUUCCAUCCGAUGCAGUGAUGCAGUGACAGGAAGUCUCACAGAGACCCUGGGGAGCAGGCAGCAGCCUCUGGUUUAGUGCUGUGGUGUAUCUGUGUGCCAGUAUGUACACAUGAAUGCAAGUGCCGAUGGAGGCCAGAAGAGGUUAUCAGAUCCUCUGAAGCUGGAGUGAUAAGCGGUUGAAAGGCACCCAGUGCAGAUGCUUGGAAUUAACUCUCGGGUAAUCUUCAAGAGCAACAAAUAUUUUUAACCACUGAGCAAUAUCUCCGCCUCCUGUUUCUUGUUUUUCACAAUUAGGUCUCACUUUAUAGCCCACACUAUACUGAAACUCACUAUCCAGCCCAGACUAACUUUAAACUUUUUAUUCUCUUGUCUCAUCCUCCAAAAUACUGGGAUUAUAAGUGUGAGCCACAACACUCAUCAUAGCCAGCUGGCUUGACUUAUGCUGUAGAGAUAAAAAUCCUUCAGGACAAGUUGGUAUGAAGCAAACUUGCAGUUUAUUAUACAAAGGGAAGUAUACACUCAGAGAAAUAGACUUGAGUGCAGCUGCUAAGAGGGACACAGGCUGUUAGGAUUUGGAUGGUUUGUUGUAUGAACAAAGUUUAACAGAUUAUUUAUGAGUUUGGAAAGGGCAAAGUGUGAAACUCCAGACAUGGCUUGAGAUUUUCCCAGAACAGGGUUUAUUCCCCUUUCUGUCUUUACAUAGUGUUUUCUGGACAUGCCAUAGUGUCAGAUACAUGAUGAUAGUGGGUAAUGAUAUGGAGAUACCAUCAUAAUUAACCAGGAGCUAACUAAUAAUCCUCUUGGUUAGACAUAUUGGUCCAGGAUAAGUUUACUGUUGUAGUGGUUACAUUGGGGCCUUUUGAAACAUAGCUCGGCCCUUACACCAGACUCAAGUCAACAUGCAGUUUGCCUCUUGUUUUUCUCAUGCUUAUUCAACCACCUUAUUUACUUAGGGCAUGCAGUUAAUAGACAUAGGUGCAUGAGUGCACACAUGUGCACACACACACACACACACACACAAUGCAUGCUUAUGUCCAUCUUCUUAAAUUAAAUAACUUAAAUUUAAAAUCUCAAAUUGAAAUGAAAUAAUCCUCUAAGUAGCCACCAAAAGGGAAAGAAGAGAACAGUUUCUGAGGCACGAAUAGAUGGAACAGGUGCAAACCAGUCCCGCCCUAGGCCUUCACCCCAAUCACCUGCCCCUAGUGACCUUCCCUUCUUCUUCCUGUGGUUACAUUUCAGGGUCUUGCAUCAUUUCCUUGGCUUCCUCUACACACUGCUCACUUAGCAACAGCUGUUUUAUAUGAUGCAGUUGUACUUUCAAAUACUUCUAGGGCUUGACAGGGGCAAGAAGGUGAAAGAAAGAAAAUCACAGGGACAUAGGCUUAAUCCUUUCUUGAGUUUUGCCAUAAAAAUCAACCCAGAGAUGUUGGAGUCAGGUUUGAAUCAAGUAACAUACGCAGACUAAUUUCUGUGUGCUAGGACUGCAUUGAAGAUUCACGAUUUAAUGAUGUCUAAUUUUCAACAUGAAAAAGGGGGAGAAAAAAGAUAGUUAUCAAUCAGUGCCAUUUCUUGCAUUCAAGACAGGGUAGUAUAAAGAGAGAUCUACUUGAUUUGGGUCCUGGUAGCUUCUAACUGGAUGUCUAUAGAGGAGAUUUCAGCACAGCAAGGAAGCC